GGAUGCGAUCAUACCAGCACUAAUGCACCGGAUCCCAUUAGAACUCCGAAGUUAAGCGUGCUUGGGCGAGAGUAGUACUAGGAUGGGUGACCUCCUGGGAAGUCCUCGUGUUGUAUUCC
This 119-nucleotide ribosomal RNA is filed under the name Aegilops tauschii subsp. strangulata. The record is from RNAcentral. Lineage: Eukaryota; Viridiplantae; Streptophyta; Magnoliopsida; Poales; Poaceae.